GGCGGCGCGCCUAACACAUGCAAGUCGAACGGCACCCCUCUCCGGAGGGAAGCGAGUGGCGAACGGCUGAUUAACACGUGGAGAACCUGCCCCCUCCCCCGGGAUAGCCGCCCGAAAGGACGGGUAAUACCGGAUACCCCGGGGUGCCGCAUGGCACCCCGGCUAAAGCCCCGACGGGAGGGGGAUGGCUCCGCGGCCCAUCAGGUAGACGGCGGGGUGACGGCCCACCGUGCCGACAACGGGUAGCCGGGUUGAGAGACCGACCGGCCAGAUUGGGACUGAGACACGGCCCAGACUCCUACGGGAGGCAGCAGUGGGGAAUCUUGCGCAAUGGGGAGAACCCUGACGCAGCGACGCCGCGUGCGGGACGGAGGCCUUCGGGUCGUAAACCGCUUUCAGCAGGGAAGAGUCAAGACUGUACCUGCAGAAGAAGCCCCGGCUAACUACGUGCCAGCAGCCGCGGUAAUACGUAGGGGGCGAGCGUUAUCCGGAUUCAUUGGGCGUAAAGCGCGCGUAGGCGGCCCGGCAGGCCGGGGGUCGAAGCGGGGGGCUCAACCCCCCGAAGCCCCCGGAACCUCCGCGGCUUGGGUCCGGUAGGGGAGGGUGGAACACCCGGUGUAGCGGUGGAAUGCGCAGAUAUCGGGUGGAACACCGGUGGCGAAGGCGGCCCUCUGGGCCCGAGACCGACGCUGAGGCGCGAAAGCUGGGGGAGCGAACAGGAUUAGAUACCCUGGUAGUCCCAGCCGUAAACGAUGGACGCUAGGUGUGGGGGGACGAUCCCCCCGUGCCGCAGCCAACGCAUUAAGCGUCCCGCCUGGGGAGUACGGCCGCAAGGCUAAAACUCAAAGGAAUUGACGGGGGCCCGCACAAGCAGCGGAGCAUGUGGCUUAAUUCGAAGCAACGCGAAGAACCUUACCAGGGCUUGACGUAUGGGUGAAGCGGGGGAGACCCCGUGGCCGAGAGGAGCUCAUACAGGUGGUGCAUGGCUGUCGUCAGCUCGUGUCGUGAGAUGUUGGGUUAAGUCCCGCAACGAGCGCAACCCCCGCCGCGUGUUGCCAUCGGGUGAUGCCGGGAACCCACGCGGGACCGCCGCCGUCAAGGCGGAGGAGGGCGGGGACGACGUCAAGUCAUCAUGCCCCUUAUGCCCUGGGCUGCACACGUGCUACAAUGGCCGGUACAGAGGGAUGCCACCCCGCGAGGGGGAGCGGAUCCCGGAAAGCCGGCCCCAGUUCGGAUUGGGGGCUGCAACCCGCCCCCAUGAAGUCGGAGUUGCUAGUAAUCGCGGAUCAGCAUGCCGCGGUGAAUGCGUUCCCGGGCCGUGCACUCACCGCCCGUCA
This 1337-nucleotide ribosomal RNA is filed under the name uncultured bacterium. Its description in RNAcentral is "bacterial SSU rRNA". It matches the Rfam family "Bacterial small subunit ribosomal RNA", at positions 38 to 1399 of the family's 1533-position model. The record is from RNAcentral.